This 266-nucleotide ribosomal RNA is filed under the name uncultured Atopobium sp. RNAcentral describes it as "partial 16S ribosomal RNA". It matches the Rfam family "Bacterial small subunit ribosomal RNA", at positions 90 to 354 of the family's 1533-position model. The record is from RNAcentral. Lineage: Bacteria; Bacillati; Actinomycetota; Coriobacteriia; Coriobacteriales; Atopobiaceae.
AUAAAGUGGCGAACGGCUGAGUAACACGUGGGCAACCUGCCCUUUGCACUGGGAUAGCCUCGGGAAACCGAGGUUAAUACCGGAUACUCCAUAUUUGUCGCAUGGCGAAUAUGGGAAAGCUCCGGCGGCAAAGGAUGGGCCCGCGGCCUGUUAGCUAGUUGGUGGGGUGGUGGCCUACCAAGGCAAUGAUGGGUAGCCGGGUUGAGAGACCGACCGGCCAGAUUGGGACUGAGACACGGCCCAGACUCCUACGGGAGGCAGCAGGU